This 264-nucleotide ribosomal RNA is filed under the name uncultured Anoxybacillus sp. RNAcentral describes it as "partial 16S ribosomal RNA". It matches the Rfam family "Bacterial small subunit ribosomal RNA", at positions 1118 to 1382 of the family's 1533-position model. Lineage: Bacteria; Bacillati; Bacillota; Bacilli; Caryophanales; Anoxybacillaceae. The record is from RNAcentral.
CCAGCAUUCAGUUGGGCACUCUAAGGUGACUGCCGGCUAAAAGUCGGAGGAAGGUGGGGAGUGACGUCAAAUCAUCAUGCCCCUUAUGACCUGGGCUACACACGUGCUACAAUGGGCGGUACAAAGGGUCGCGAACCCGCGAGGGGGAGCCAAUCCCAAAAAGCCGCUCUCAGUUCGGAUUGCAGGCUGCAACUCGCCUGCAUGAAGCCGGAAUCGCUAGUAAUCGCGGAUCAGCAUGCCGCGGUGAAUACGUUCCCGGGCCUU